Molecule: long non-coding RNA, 1015 nt
Filed under: Anas platyrhynchos platyrhynchos (common mallard)
Lineage: Eukaryota; Metazoa; Chordata; Aves; Anseriformes; Anatidae
Description: lncRNA (ENSAPLG00000029487.1)
Source: RNAcentral
GCACCCAGUAGUGGUCAUGGGCACCCAGUGGAGGUGUUGGGCACCCAACGGUGUUGAAGGGCUCCCAAUGGUGUGUGUGGGCAACCAACAGCAUUGAUGGGCAACCAACGGGGGUCGUUGGUAGCAAAUGGUGGUGAGCACCCAAUGGGGGUGAUGGGUGCUCUUUGGAGGUGAUGGACACCCAACGGAGGUGGUGGGCACCCAACAGAGGUGUUGGGCACCCAAUGAAGAUGAUGGGCACUCAACGGUGUUGAAGGGCACCCAAUGGUGCUGGUGGGCACCCAAUAGUGGUCGUGGGCAUCCAACGGUGUUGAAGGGCACCCAGCAGAGGUGUUGGGCACCCAACGGAGGUGAUUGGCACCCAAUGGGGUUGAUGGGCACCCAAUGGUGUUGAUGGGCACCCAGCAGCAACCAGUGGAGGUCGUUGGUAUCAAAUGGUGGUGGGCACCCAAUGGAGGUGAUGGGUGCUCUUUGGAGGUGAUGGGCACCCAAUGGUGUUGAUGGGCACCCAAUGGAGCAACCAGUGGAGGUCGUUGGUAUCAAAUGGUGGUGGGCACCCAGUGGGGGCAAUGGGUGCUCUUUGGAGGUGAUGGGCACCCAACAGAGGUGUUGGGCACCCAACGGAGGUGAUGGGCACCCAAUGGAUGUGAUGGACACCCAAUGGUGUUGAAGGGCACCCAAGAGCAUUGAUGAGCACCCGUCAGAGGUCAUUGGUGUCAAAUUGUGAUGGGCACCCAGUGGAGGUGAUGGGCACCCAGUGGUGUUGAUGGGCACCCAAUGGUGUUGAUGGAAUCCAACUGAGAUGAUGGGCACUUAAUGGUGUUGUUGGGUACUCUGCGGUAUUGAUGGGCACCCAAUGGUGUUGAUGGGCACCCAAGGGAGCUCAUUGGCCUGAAAUGGUGAUGGGGCACCCAACAUUGUUGAUCUGCACCCAAAGGUGUUGGUGGGCACCCAAUGAUGUUGAUGGGCACCCAAGGGAGCUCAUUGACCUCAAAUGGUGAUGGGGCACCUAGCG